AAAGUUUUUUACAGAUCCUCUUUUUGGGAACACGAUGUAAAAGAGAAAACUGAGAAGGGAACAUAGCUGCGAUAACGAUGGAGGCCCUUGUGCAAAAUCAAACAGGAAAUCUUGGAAAGAGGAUCAAGUUGCUGCUGUUACAGAACGAAAGCCGAUAAGUUUGGUCUAAUAUUGAACCGGUGAUAGGCUUCUCAAUACGCGUAUUGAACAGAUCGUUUCAUUCAAAGAUAUCAACUUUGUUGGUUACACAUAGAAGAAUUUUGGGAUUGUUAAUGACUAAAAAGUCCAUGGAAUGGUUUUUUUGUAGAAACACAUUUGAUGCCAAAGGUUUAUGACACGAAGCUUGAAGGUCAAGUCAUCCCUGGUUACAUCCAAAUCAGGUAUGAAGGGUUUUGAAUGUGAACGAAAUCUAUUGGGAUUAUAUGGGCGGGAAAUGAAGAUGUAGAAUUUUGGAGUAAUAACACGUGGCAACCUGUUGUGCUAAUAGUUGGACAAGUGGCAUUUAGUAUAGUGUUUUAUUAAGUAUAUAUAUAUAUAUAUAUAUAUAUAUAUAUAUAUAUAUAUAUAUAUAUAUAUAUAUAUAUAUAUAUAUAUAUAUAUAUAUAUAUAUAUAUAUCACUACUAGAAAACAUACUUUUAAUGACACGCGAACUAUGACAUGCAUUAGAUUUAUUACACAAAAAGUCGGUGUCGUAAAAAAAGUCAUUUCUUAUGAAAUUCAAAGGAUUUACGAUA
Molecule: long non-coding RNA, 735 nt
Organism: Lactuca sativa (garden lettuce)
Lineage: Eukaryota; Viridiplantae; Streptophyta; Magnoliopsida; Asterales; Asteraceae
Source: RefSeq, a predicted model, not a curated record